UGGCCCAUGAAAUCAAGUGUGGGUGAGACCUGGUGCAGAACGGGAAGGCGACCCAUACUUGGUUUCAGAGGCUG
Non-coding RNA from Pongo abelii (Sumatran orangutan), 74 nucleotides. NCBI's taxonomy places the organism in Eukaryota, Metazoa, Chordata, Mammalia, Primates, Hominidae. The record is from Rfam.